RNAcentral lists this ribosomal RNA (790 nucleotides) under uncultured Pseudomonadota bacterium. Its description in RNAcentral is "bacterial SSU rRNA". It matches the Rfam family "Bacterial small subunit ribosomal RNA", at positions 8 to 793 of the family's 1533-position model. The record is from RNAcentral. Lineage: Bacteria; Pseudomonadati; Pseudomonadota.
AGAGUUUGAUCAUGGCUCAGAUUGAACGCUGGCGGCAGGCCUAACACAUGCAAGUCGAGCGGAUGAGGGGAGCUUGCUCCCUGAUUUAGCGGCGGACGGGUGAGUAAUGCCUAGGAAUCUGCCUAGUGGUGGGGGAUAACGUUCCGAAAGGAACGCUAAUACCGCAUACGUCCUACGGGAGAAAGCGGGGGAUCUUCGGACCUCGCGCCAUUAGAUGAGCCUAGGUCGGAUUAGCUAGUUGGUGAGGUAAAGGCUCACCAAGGCGACGAUCCGUAACUGGUCUUAGAGGAUGAUCAGUCACACUGGAACUGAGACACGGUCCAGACUCCUACGGGAGGCAGCAGUGGGGAAUAUUGGACAAUGGGCGAAAGCCUGAUCCAGCCAUGCCGCGUGUGUGAAGAAGGUCUUCGGAUUGUAAAGCACUUUAAGUUGGGAGGAAGGGUAUUCACCUAAUACGUGAGUAUUUUGACGUUACCGACAGAAUAAGCACCGGCUAACUUCGUGCCAGCAGCCGCGGUAAUACGAAGGGUGCAAGCGUUAAUCGGAAUUACUGGGCGUAAAGCGCGCGUAGGUGGUUCGUUAAGUUGGAUGUGAAAGCCCCGGGCUCAACCUGGGAACUGCAUCCAAAACUGGCGAGCUAGAGUACGGUAGAGGGUGGUGGAAUUUCCUGUGUAGCGGUGAAAUGCGUAGAUAUAGGAAGGAACACCAGUGGCGAAGGCGACCACCUGGACUGAUACUGACACUGAGGUGCGAAAGCGUGAGGAGCAAACAGGAUUAGAUACCCUGGUAG